GAUGAACGCUGGCGGCGUGCUUAACACAUGCAAGUCGAACGGUGAAGGCGGAGCUUGCUCUGCUGGAUCAGUGGCGAACGGGUGAGUAACACGUGAGCAAUCUGCCCCUGACUCUGGGAUAAGCGCUGGAAACGGCGUCUAAUACUGGAUACGAGCUGCGAAGGCAUCUUCAGCAGCUGGAAAGAACUUCGGUCAGGGAUGAGCUCGCGGGCUAUCAGCUUGUUGGUGAGGUAACGGCUCACCAAGGCGUCGACGGGUAGCCGGCCUGAGAGGGUGACCGGCCACCCUGGGACUGAGACACGGCCCAGACUCCUACGGGAGGCAGCAGUGGGGAAUAUUACACAAUGGGCGAAAGCCUGAUGCAGCAACGCCGCGUGAGGGACGACGGCCUUCGGGUUGUAAACCUCUUUUAGCAGGGAAGAAGCGAAAGUGACGGUACCUGCAGAAAAAGCGCCGGCUAACUACGUG
RNAcentral lists this ribosomal RNA (468 nucleotides) under uncultured bacterium. RNAcentral describes it as "partial 16S ribosomal RNA". It matches the Rfam family "Bacterial small subunit ribosomal RNA", at positions 28 to 507 of the family's 1533-position model. The record is from RNAcentral.